Molecule: ribosomal RNA, 292 nt
Filed under: uncultured bacterium
Lineage: Bacteria
Description: partial 16S ribosomal RNA
Rfam family: Bacterial small subunit ribosomal RNA
Source: RNAcentral
GUGCCAGCAGCCGCGGUAAUACGGAGGGUGCGAGCGUUGUCCGGAAUCAUUGGGCGUAAAGGGCGCGUAGGUGGCCCGGUCAGUCAGUGGUGAAAGCGCGGGGCUCAACUCCGCGUCGGCCAUUGAUACUGCUGGGCUUGAGCACUGUAGAGGCAGGCGGAAUUCCGGGUGUAGCGGUGGAAUGCGUAGAGAUCCGGAAGAACACCGGUGGCGAAGGCGGCCUGCUGGGCAGUAGCUGACACUGAGGCGCGACAGCGUGGGGAGCAAACAGGAUUAGAUACCCUGGUAGUCC